Marmota monax (woodchuck) is the source of this 2612-nucleotide long non-coding RNA. RefSeq lists it as uncharacterized. NCBI's taxonomy places the organism in Eukaryota, Metazoa, Chordata, Mammalia, Rodentia, Sciuridae. The transcript is spliced from 4 exons. The record is from RefSeq and is a predicted model, not a curated record.
GGUUUUGCUGAGUUGCUAAGGGCCUCACUAGGUUGCUGAGACUGGCUUUGAACUCCUGUUUCAGCCUCCCCAGCAGCUGGGAUUACAGGAGGUCAGGGAGUGUCUGAAGCCAACCCAUGGACUUCUGAAUCCCAGAGGAAGAACUUGUGCACCCUGGAACAUCAUAUGUGUCAAGUAGUGUGAUCCAUGACCUGUCAAGUUUUUCUACAAAGCAUCAGACAUCUGAAAGUGCCCUACCACUGAGCUACACUCCCAGCCUUAGAAACUCUCUUUUUCUUUAAAGAGUGGAGUCUUUCUCUUCAGGAGAUUCCAAUAAUGAGAUCUGCAAUAAGACUUCUGAAACACAUCUUCAAAAUACCUGCAACAAGUAUUUUGGCUGCUGGAGGACAAAAGGUCUCAGCCUCACCGAAAACCAGGCAGUGACUCACUCACCCUCUACCUUUCACUGGAGGAGAAUCAUUUUAGGGUGAAAAUUCUCAAGGAAGUCAGUUUAUCUCCUCAAAACAGAAAGGACUAAUCAAGCAUUGUCUGAUUAAUUAGAGACUCUUGGAAAAAAAGUGCUAUCAAGGCCUACAGCUGCAAUCAAUUUAAUCAACAUGCAAAGAGCCAAUCAUUGGUUUUCUUGAUUAACAAAGCUGAAUGUUAAACAGAGAAGUGUGACAUUGUCGUGCCAUUAGCUACAGCUACAAAUUGAGAAUUUCCCCUAAAUAUUCAAAGUCAGGCCAGGAUAAAGUGAAAGCUUUUUCAUAUUCAAUUUCUUAACGUUGAACCCUAUAAGCAUGGCCAUUUCAAUUCUUCCCCUUGAUAGUUCAUGUAGGAAAAAUAAUUUUCAUCCAAAGAGCAGAGAUGAGCGGUGACGUCAGGAAGCUCCAAGACACUGCCCCACUCCCCACAAAAAACCCACAAAAAACCACACACACACACACAAAAAAAACCCCACUCCCGGCCACACAGGUCCCAGUAAAAUUUACCACGUGUAAUAGUGCUAGUAGUUAUUGUCAUUUGAAAUUACAGAAAGAAAAAGACUUGUUCCCAAGCAGCUUUAUGUAACACUUUUUUGAAGAUGACUGGAGUUAAGGACUUUGUAACUUUUAAGUCAUUAGCAAAUCAAGAGCAGAAAACUUUGCCGCCUUUUUGAACUUUAACUAGAGGAUAAUUGCCUUAAAAUUAGAAUACAAAAUAAAAUCAUCUAGACCUUUCUGUGAAAUGAUGGAACUUAAUGUUGCAGAAAGAGUAGGUGGAGUUUAAUUUAAUGCUUUAAUUUAGCUUUCUGGGCUUUUGUAAAGAAUAACUACAGGGUAUCAUUUUCAUCAUUAAGUGUGUCAGAAUAAUAAGAUACCAUAUUUAUGUACUGAUUUCCAUUUUCUUUUCAAAGUUUGGUUAUACUUUUAUGUUCAGUAGUCAAAUAAAACAAAUGAUAUGCUAAAAAGUAGGCUCUGUGAGGUGAAUGACAAUUUAAUUUCUUCCCAGUGUUGGCUGGCUACACAAGAAAAUAAAGAACUGGGGGAAAGUUGACAGGAUAUUUAGUUGACUAGAUUUAUUUCCCAGCAGUUGCAGGGUAUGUUAAUUGUAACUUUUCAGUUAAUGAAAAAUAUUGUGAUAGAACACUGAUGUGGGUGAUAAACGGACUUUAAACACAUAGACGGUAAAAUCCUAUUUCUAAAACUCUGGGAGGAAAUAAUCAGAACUCUUUUGUUGGUUAAACCAUUAUUUUUUUUGGUACAGAGGAUUGACGUCGAGGCACUCCACCACUGAGCCACAUCCCCAGCCCUUUUUUUAUAUUUUAUUUAGAGACAGGGUCUCACUGAGUUGCUCAGCACCACGAUUUUGCUGAGGCUGGCUUUGAACUCGUUAUCCUCCUGCCUCAGCCUACUAAGCCACUGAGAUUACAGGGGUUGGACCAGUCUGGUAAGCAAAAUUGGGCUUGCCAAGGGAGGGCAGUAACUCUCCCUAGUCAGUAAGCUACCAUCAUCAUUGUUAUUAUUCACAGAAUUACUCCAGCUGCUAUUCAACUUAAAUAUGGUCCUCAUUCUACGGAAAGCUUACAGGAAGAAUUGUAAGAAUGGUAGAAAGACAAAGAAAUCUUGCAAUAUCAGAAAGAGCAAACCGGCAGACUAAGAAUCUCACUGAUGAUUACCACUAAUAAACUCUUUGACUGAAGUGUAACAAACACGUAGAAAACUGCACAAAUAUAUAACUCAGUGAAUGUCCCCAAGGUGAACAGUAAUCACCACCUGGGUCAGAGGACAGAUACUUUCCUUCCUCCUAAUGGUCACGCUCUCCUCUCCCCACAUCCAUUUGCCUGUGAUUGAAUUUAUUGGAAUGGAAUCCUAUAGUACAUAUUCCUCAGACGUCUAGCUUCUUUCUGGAAUAUUAUAGUUGUGAAAAUCAUCCGUGUGUUGGAGUGCAUGUAGUAUUCCAUUGAGUAAAUAGAACACAAGCCACUCAUCCCUUCUACUACCGAAAAGAAAAUGGAUCGCUUCUAGAAUGGGGCUAUGGAGGCUGUGUUAUCUCCCCUCAAAGGGGAGAUUAAUAACAAUGAUAUUUUAGGAGGUUCUUCUUUGGCCAGGUAAGGAAGUGUGGAUGAGAUUUCUUUUUGUGUUUCCUGUAGG